CCUACGGGUGGCAGCAGUGAGGAAUAUUGGUCAAUGGACGCAAGUCUGAACCAGCCAUGCCGCGUGCAGGAAGACGGCUCUAUGAGUUGUAAACUGCUUUUGUACGAGGGUAAACGCAGAUACGCGGAUCUGUCUGAACGUAUCGUACGAAUAAGGAUCGGCUAACUCCGUGCAAGCAGCCGCGGUAAUACGGAGGGUGAAAGCGUUAUCCGGAUUUAGUGGGUUUAAAGGGGGCGUAGGCGGUCGGAUAAGUUAGAGGUGAAAUCCCGAGGCUCAACUUCGGAAUUGCCUCUGAUACUGUUCGGCUAGAGAGUAGUUGCGGUAGGCGGAAUGUAUGGUGUAGCGGUGAAAUGCUUAGAGAUCAUGCAGAACACCGAUGGCGAAGGCAGCUUACCAAGCUACUUCUGACGUUGAGGCACGAAAGCGUGGGGAGCAAACAGGAUUAGAUACCCGGGUAGUC
This 460-nucleotide ribosomal RNA is filed under the name uncultured bacterium. RNAcentral describes it as "partial 16S ribosomal RNA". It matches the Rfam family "Bacterial small subunit ribosomal RNA", at positions 338 to 795 of the family's 1533-position model. The record is from RNAcentral.